This is a long non-coding RNA of Beta vulgaris subsp. vulgaris (sugar beet), 726 nucleotides long. RefSeq lists it as uncharacterized. The transcript is spliced from 2 exons. The record is from RefSeq and is a predicted model, not a curated record. Lineage: Eukaryota; Viridiplantae; Streptophyta; Magnoliopsida; Caryophyllales; Amaranthaceae.
UGGGGUUAGUAUUUCCUUUUGGUUUGAUAAUUGGGUGUAGGGCUGGCAAAAACUGACCCAACCUGAUAACCCGACUUGAAAAUUCUGGGUUUGGGUUGAGAUUUUCGACCUGAAAAAAAAAUGGGUCGACCCAACCCGACCUGAAAAUAUAAUGGGUUAGGUUCAGGUUGAGAUUUUGAACCUGAAAACAACCCGAAAUGACCUGAAGUAAAAAUAACUUAAACUUUCUUAUAAUAUUGGGCCAAGCCCAAUAAGUCAAUAACCCUAAGGCUAAGCCUUUUUUUACUGUGGUAUGCCGUUUGUGCAAUUACAAUCAAAAGCUGAAAAAUCAAAACCCUAGAGUAUAGAGUAGAGAGAGACUAGAGACUUCUCUCAAAAAAAAAACCCCAGAGAAGAAGAACAGACAUUACGUUCUUCGAAAUUCUUCGCCAUCUGAAAAAUACGUUCUGCUAAAUCUUCAAAGGCUAACAAUGGCUGACUCUCAUUGUGAGCGACCCAUUAAUGUUGGAGAUGAUUCGGAUUCUGAUAUCAGUGACAGUCAUGGCAAGUCAGAGAAGAAGAACAAAGCAAAUACCGAUUCUAUUUUAUUUUACUUUUUGCAAGAAAUAGUUAAAUCUUGAAUUUAUGUUUUGUAAUCUGAAGUUGGUGGCCAAUUUAUGGUUUUGAAUGUAGAAAGUUGAAACUUUAACUUUUACAUCUACAAGUGCUUUGCGAAUUAAGUUGGCA